RNAcentral lists this ribosomal RNA (465 nucleotides) under uncultured bacterium. RNAcentral describes it as "bacterial SSU rRNA". It matches the Rfam family "Bacterial small subunit ribosomal RNA", at positions 338 to 795 of the family's 1533-position model. The record is from RNAcentral.
CCUACGGGGUGCACCAGUGGGGAAUAUUGCACAAUGGGCGCAAGCCUGAUGCAGCCAUGCCGCGUGUAUGAAGAAGGCCUUCGGGUUGUAAAGUACUUUCAGCGAGGAGGAAGGCAUCAAUGUUAAUAACCUUGGUGAUUGACGUUACUCGCAGAAGAAGCACCGGCUAACUCCGUGCCAGCAGCCGCGGUAAUACGGAGGGUGCAAGCGUUAAUCGGAAUUACUGGGCGUAAAGCGCACGCAGGCGGUCUGUCAAGUCGGAUGUGAAAACCCCGGGCUCAACCUGGGAACUGCAUUCGAAACUGGCAGGCUAGAGUCAUGUAGAGGGGGGUAGAAUUCCAGGUGUAGCGGUGAAAUGCGUAGAGAUCUGGAGGAAUACCGGUGUCGAAGGCGGCCCCCUGGACAAAGACUGACGCUCAGGUGCGAAAGCGUGGGGAGCAAACAGGAUUAGAUACCCGUGUAGUC